GAGUUUGAUCCUGGCUCAGAAUCAUCGCUGGCGGCGUGCCUCAGACAUGCAAGUCGAACGAUUAAACUUUCCUUCGGGAAAGAUAUAAAGUGGCGCACGGGUGAGUAACACGUAGGUAAUGUACCUUUGGGUGGGGAAUAACUUAGGGAAACUUAAGCUAAUACCGCAUAAUGCAGCGGCUCCUUCGGGAGACAGUUGUUAAAGAUUUAUCGCCUAAAGAGCAGCCUGCGGCAGAUUAGCUAGUUGGUAAGGUAACGGCUUACCAAGGCUACGAUCUGUAUCCGACCUGAGAGGGUGGUCGGACACACUGACACUGAAUAACGGGUCAGACUCCUACGGGAGGCAGCAGUCGGGAAUUUUGGGCAAUGGGCGAAAGCCUGACCCAGCAGCGCCGCGUGAAGGAUGAAGUCUCUCGGGAUGUAAACUUCGUAAGAAUAGGAAGAAUAAAUGGCGGUACUAUUUGUAAGGUCCGGCUAACUACGUGCCAGCAGCCGCGGUAAUACGUAGGGACCAAGCGUUGUUCGGAUUUACUGGGCGUAAAGGGCGCGUAGGCGGCAAUUCAAGUCAGUUGUGAAAUCUCCGAGCUUAACUCGGAACGGUCAACUGAUACUGCUUUGCUAGAGUACAGAAGGGGCAAUCGGAAUUCUUGGUGUAGCGGUGAAAUGCGUAGAUAUCAAGAGGAACACCUGAGGUGAAGACGGGUUGCUGGGCUGAUACUGACGCUGAGGCGCGAAAGCUAGGGUAGCAAACGGGAUUAGAUACCCCGGUAGUCCUAGCCCUAAACGAUGAAUACUUGGUGUCUGGAGUUUUAUUCUCCGGGUGCCGUCGCUAACGUUUUUAGUAUUCCGCCUGGGGAGUACGCACGCAAGUGUGAAACUCAAAGGAAUUGACGG
RNAcentral lists this ribosomal RNA (893 nucleotides) under uncultured bacterium. Its description in RNAcentral is "bacterial SSU rRNA". It matches the Rfam family "Bacterial small subunit ribosomal RNA", at positions 9 to 916 of the family's 1533-position model. The record is from RNAcentral.